Rosa chinensis is the source of this 121-nucleotide small nuclear RNA. RefSeq annotates it as U5 spliceosomal RNA. The transcript has a single exon. Lineage: Eukaryota; Viridiplantae; Streptophyta; Magnoliopsida; Rosales; Rosaceae. The record is from RefSeq and is a predicted model, not a curated record.
AGACAUGCGUUGAGCACAAAGAGAACUAUUCUUUCACCUUUUAAUUUACUAAAGAAUACCAUGUGCGUGGUGUUAUAAAUGGCAUACGUCUGUUUUUAUAAGUUUGUAAGGGUGAAAAUCU